UUGAAUCGUAGUUUUAGUGGC
Molecule: non-coding RNA, 21 nt
Filed under: Caenorhabditis elegans
Lineage: Eukaryota; Metazoa; Nematoda; Chromadorea; Rhabditida; Rhabditidae
Source: RNAcentral